ACCCGGAAAAGGCAAACCUCCUGAAGAACACGAGGUCACGGAAUCAGUAUUUAUCAUCCUCGAGGACAUCCGAGAAUUCGGGGGACUCAAGUGGCACAGAAAGUAAACCAACAAAGGUGCAGCCAUAUAUGCAAGAGAUGAGCAAGGUCUAUAACCAAUACAGGACUGUAAAUGCGCCUUUUCAAGACGAAAAAGCCGACACUUGGACGUUUUCGAAGAGACCGUCGGACAUAAGAGAUGCAAGACAUAAAGAAGAAGAGGGAACCUCGAAGCCCGUAAGGGAGACGAAGAGAGAGACCACAAACAAAGGACAAUCAGAC
Molecule: long non-coding RNA, 320 nt
Organism: Hyposmocoma kahamanoa
Lineage: Eukaryota; Metazoa; Arthropoda; Insecta; Lepidoptera; Cosmopterigidae
Exons: 4
Source: RefSeq, a predicted model, not a curated record